GACGAACGCUGGCGGCGUGCCUAAUACAUGCAAGUAGAACGCUGAAGGAGGAGCUUGCUUCUCCGGAUGAGUUGCGAACGGGUGAGUAACGCGUAGGUAACCUGCCUGGUAGCGGGGGAUAACUAUUGGAAACGAUAGCUAAUACCGCAUAACAGUAGAUGUUGCAUGACAUUUGCUUAAAAGGUGCAAUUGCAUCACUACCAGAUGGACCUGCGUUGUAUUAGCUAGUUGGUGAGGUAACGGCUCACCAAGGCGACGAUACAUAGCCGACCUGAGAGGGUGAUCGGCCGCACUGGGACUGAGACACGGCCCAGACUCCUACGGGAGGCAGCAGUAGGGAAUCUUCGGCAAUGGACGGAAGUCUGACCGAGCAACGCCGCGUGAGUGAAGAAGGUUUUCGGAUCGUAAAGCUCUGUUGUAAGAGAAGAACGAGUGUGAGAGUGGAAAGUUCACACUGUGACGGUAUCUUACCAGAAAGGGACGGCUAACUACGUG
RNAcentral lists this ribosomal RNA (495 nucleotides) under uncultured bacterium. RNAcentral describes it as "partial 16S ribosomal RNA". It matches the Rfam family "Bacterial small subunit ribosomal RNA", at positions 28 to 507 of the family's 1533-position model. The record is from RNAcentral.